CAGACUAAAAUCUGAUCCACUGAAGUAUUUUGUGGGAUCCGGUUCAAAGCAGAGGGUUAAAACUAUUUACAUGAAUGAAAGGACUACCCCUUCAAAGGGAGGGAGGGUAAUAUGUAGUCGUAGCCAGGACCACAUGCAUGAGGAGGAAACAGCUUGGCUCUGAAACAUGUUCACAACGAGGCAGUGUGAAUGAGCUGGUGUCUUUUAAGGGUGCUAUUUUGAGAAAACUUUUU
This is a long non-coding RNA of Etheostoma cragini (Arkansas darter), 233 nucleotides long. RefSeq lists it as uncharacterized. The transcript is spliced from 2 exons. The record is from RefSeq and is a predicted model, not a curated record. Lineage: Eukaryota; Metazoa; Chordata; Actinopteri; Perciformes; Percidae.